UACGUAGGGGGCAAGCGUUGUCCGGAAUUAUUGGGCGUAAAGAGCGCGUAGGCGGUCCGGUAAGUCGGUUGUGAAAGUCGGGGGCUCAACCCUCGAAUGCCGGCGGAUACUGUCGGGCUAGAGUCCGGAAGAGGCGAGUGGAAUUCCUGGUGUAGCGGUGAAAUGCGCAGAUAUCAGGAGGAACACCUACGGCGAAGGCAGCUCGCUGGGACGGUACUGACGCUGAGACGCGAAAGCGUGGGGAGCAAACAGG
This 253-nucleotide ribosomal RNA is filed under the name uncultured bacterium. RNAcentral's name for it is "partial 16S ribosomal RNA". It matches the Rfam family "Bacterial small subunit ribosomal RNA", at positions 524 to 776 of the family's 1533-position model. The record is from RNAcentral.